Molecule: ribosomal RNA, 448 nt
Filed under: uncultured bacterium
Lineage: Bacteria
Description: bacterial SSU rRNA
Rfam family: Bacterial small subunit ribosomal RNA
Source: RNAcentral
UACCAGACUCCUACGGGAGGCAGCAGUGGGGAAUAUUGCACAAUGGGGGAAACCCUGAUGCAGCGACGCCGCGUGAGUGAAGAAGUAUUUCGGUAUGUAAAGCUCUAUCAGCAGGGAAGAGAAUGACGGUACCUGAGUAAGAAGCCCCGGCUAACUACGUGCCAGCAGCCGCGGUAAUACGUAGGGGGCAAGCGUUAUCCGGAUUUACUGGGUGUAAAGGGAGCGUAGACGGCGAAGAAAGUCUGAAGUGAAAGCCCGCGGCUCAACCGCGGAACUGCUUUGGAAACUGUUUUGCUGGAGUGCCGGAGAGGUAAGCGGAAUUCCUAGUGUAGCGGUGAAAUGCGUAGAUAUUAGGAGGAACACCAGUGGCGAAGGCGGCUUACUGGACGGUAACUGACGUUGAGGCUCGAAAGCGUGGGGAGCAAACAGGAUUAGAUACCCGCGUAAA